GGGCGAUAGCUCAGCUGGCAGAGCGUCUGUAGUGGUCAGCAGAGUGCCGUCGGUUCGAGCCCGACUACCUCCA
Molecule: transfer RNA, 73 nt
Filed under: Candidatus Tremblayella princeps
Lineage: Bacteria; Pseudomonadati; Pseudomonadota; Betaproteobacteria
Description: Candidatus Tremblaya princeps tRNA-Undetermined
Rfam family: tRNA
About the family: Transfer RNA (tRNA) molecules are approximately 80 nucleotides in length. Their secondary structure includes four short double-helical elements and three loops (D, anti-codon, and T loops). Further hydrogen bonds mediate the characteristic L-shaped molecular structure. tRNAs have two regions of fundamental functional importance: the anti-codon, which is responsible for specific mRNA codon recognition, and the 3' end, to which the tRNAs corresponding amino acid is attached (by aminoacyl-tRNA synthetases). tRNAs cope with the degeneracy of the genetic code in two manners: having more than one tRNA (with a specific anti-codon) for a particular amino acid; and 'wobble' base-pairing, i.e. permitting non-standard base-pairing at the 3rd anti-codon position.
Source: RNAcentral